CUCAUAACAUGUUGAAACACCAGUUCUUAUACAAUCACCAAAGUUAAGCAAUGUUAAGCCUGGUCAGUACUUAGAUGGUUGACCACUUGAGAUAACCAGGUGGUGUA
This is a non-coding RNA of Acanthosepion pharaonis, 107 nucleotides long. The record is from the annotation of a GenBank genome assembly. NCBI's taxonomy places the organism in Eukaryota, Metazoa, Mollusca, Cephalopoda, Sepiida, Sepiidae.